CCUAGGGGGUGAAAAGCCCCCUCGCCGUAAGCGCAAGGUUUUCUACGCAACGUUCAUCGGCGUAGAGUGAGUCGGCCCCUAAGGCGAGGCAGAGAUGCGUAGCUGAUGGGAAACAGGUCAAUAUUCCUGCACCGAUGUGUAGUGCGAUGUGGGGACGGAUCUUAAUAGGUCAUCCGGGUGUUGGAUAUCCCGGUUUAGUUGGAAGUAGGCGAUGGGUAGGCAAAUCCGCCCGUCAUAUACCGAGGCCAACGAUCGAGCCAGCUUGCUGGUGAAGUGACUGAACGAGGUUCCAGGAAAAGCCACUAAGCUUCAGCUAUACACGACCGUACCGCAAACCGACACUGGUGCGCGAGAUGAGUAUUCUAAGGCGCUUGAGAGAACUCAGGAGAAGGAACUCGGCAAAUUGACACCGUAACUUCGGAAGAAGGUGUGCCCUAUUAGUGUGAAGUGAACAACGGAGCAUGAAUGGGUUGCAAAAAAUCGGUGGCUGCGACUGUUUAUUAAAAACACAGCACUCUGCAAACACGAAAGUGGACGUAUAGGGUGUGACGCCUGCCCGGUGCUGGAAGAUUAAAUGAUGGGGUGCAAGCUCUUGAUUGAAGUCCCAGUAAACGGCGGCCGUAACUAUAACGGUCCUAAGGUAGCGAAAUUCCUUGUCGGGUAAGUUCCGACCUGCACGAAUGGCGUAACGAUGGCCACACUGUCUCCUCCUGAGACUCAGCGAAGUUGAAAUGUUUGUGAUGAUGCAAUCUCCCCGCGGAAAGACGGAAAGACCCCAUGAACCUUUACUGUAGCUUUGUAUUGGACUUUGAACAGAUCUGUGUAGGAUAGGUGGGAGGCUUUGAAGCAGGGUCGCUAGAUCUUGUGGAGCCAACGUUGAAAUACCACCCUGGUGUGUUUGAGGUUCUAACCUAGGUCCAUUAUCUGGAUCGGGGACAGUGCAUGGUAGGCAGUUUGACUGGGGCGGUCUCCUCCCAAAGCGUAACGGAGGAGUUCGAAGGUACGCUAGUUACGGUCGGACAUCGUGACGAUAGGGCAAUGGCAUAAGCGUGCUUAACUGCGAGACUGACAAGUCGAGCAGAUGCGAAAGCAGGACAUAGUGAUCCGGUGGUUCUGUAUGGAAGGGCCAUCGCUCAACGGAUAAAAGGUACUCUGGGGAUAACAGGCUGAUACCGCCCAAGAGUUCAUAUCGACGGCGGUGUUUGGCACCUCGAUGUCGGCUCAUCUCAUCCUGGGGCUGUAGCCGGUCCCAAGGGUAUGGCUGUUCGCCAUUUAAAGAGGUACGUGAGCUGGGUUUAAAACGUCGUGAGACAGUUUGGUCCCUAUCUUCCGUGGGCGCUGCAGAUUGGAGGAAGCCUGCUCCUAGUACGAGAGGACCGGAGUGGACACACCUCUGGUGUAUCGGUUGUCACGCCAGUGGCAUUGCCGAGUAGCUAAGUGUGGAAGAGAUAACCGCUGAAAGCAUCUAAGCGGGAGACUCGUUUCAAGAUGAGAUCUGCCGGGGCCUUGAGCCCCCUGAAGAGUCGUUCAAGACCAGGACGUUGAUAGGUCAGGUGUGGAAGCGCAGUAAUGCGUUAAGCUAACUGAUACUAAUUGCUCGUGCGGCUUGACC
RNAcentral lists this ribosomal RNA (1612 nucleotides) under metagenome. RNAcentral's name for it is "bacterial LSU rRNA". It matches the Rfam family "Bacterial large subunit ribosomal RNA", at positions 1313 to 2925 of the family's 2925-position model. The record is from RNAcentral.